Molecule: long non-coding RNA, 3607 nt
Filed under: Homo sapiens (human)
Lineage: Eukaryota; Metazoa; Chordata; Mammalia; Primates; Hominidae
Description: non-protein coding lnc-SLC29A1-2:1
Source: RNAcentral
CUGACUAUUUUUUGUAUUUUUAAUACAGACGGGGUUUCACCACGUUGGCCAGGCUGGUCUCGAACUCCUGACCUCAUGAUCCGCCCGCCUCUGCCUCCCAAAGUGCUGAGAUUACAGGCAUGACCGCGCCUGGCCGCCAAUUAAAGUUUAACUAGAGUUAAACUAUGACAGUGAUUCAAAAUGGUUGUAAACAGAAAAAUGCAGCCACCUUAAGGAAAUAGCCUGUUUGUCCAGCAAGCCCUGCCUGGAAGCCAAGUCUUCACACACAGGAAGAGUGGCAGUCCCCAGGUCAGCCAGCAGAUCUGACUCAGAGGUCAGGUUGGCAGUGUCCCCCCAAACCCUUGGGGACCAACUGUUUCCUGGGGCAGGUUGGCACUGAGGGUGGAAAUGGGCAGCGCCCAACUCCCUCUGGCCCCAACCUCAUCAAUGGCCUUAUGUCCGGGCUGGACCCCUCCAGCCCAUCUCGGUAUGACCUGGCUUCCUGUGUAGAUGCUCUCGGGGAGAGGACGUGCCCACUCGGAGCCCUCUGCAGCCUUGGCAGUCCUGGUGCUCGCUGGAAGUGAGCAAGUUGGCAUUCUGGCAACAGACUGCAGGGUGACCGCUAAAUGUGAGUCAGCAGGGCCCCACGAAGGCCUCCGUCCUCUCUCCUGGGCUUGCCCUGUACCAGCUGUGAUCCCGGAUUAGUCACUCCUCCCCUAGGCCCGCCUCCUCGUCCUUACCAGGGGAUGACAUAUGUGUUGACUUAAGGAAAUUAAGUGCGGGAGAGCAUGGAUGCAGGAGGUGAGGUCCCCAGAGCUACGUGGCGCUAUCAGUUACCAGGAUGAGCCUCAGGAUGGCCCUCCCCGCACCCCACGUUCCCCCACCUAGCCUAUUCCAGGCUCCUUCCCACCUGCGUUCAUUCCCCUCCCCCGCCUCUCCAGUCCCCGGAAGCUUCGAGACCAAAGCCUCACUUCCCCUACUCCAGAUAUUUCCAGCGUGAACCACCACGCGGGUCCCUAAGCCUCGCGGACAGCCGAGAACCGUGGGGCUGGGGGCGGCGAGAGGUGCGACGGGGACCAGGCCCCUGCCCCAUCCCGCCGCGAGGAGCGGAGGGGGUGAUGUCACCCGGCCCGCGCGCCCCCUGGCGGGCGUCAGGCCCCACUGCUCUGCGCUUCUGCGUCCUGGCGGGUGGGUGACCAGACUGCGUGUCAGACAGACCCACGCCACUGCCCCGUGUCCGGGUGACCUUGAGCCAGGCUUGUUCCGUCGCGGCGCCACUCAUCUGUAAGGCAGGGAUAGUCACACUUGCCCUGACAACCGCGUGGGUCGUGAAACUUGUUAUUCACUGAGAUAGUGAAUAACAACGCUACUUGGUCCAGCCACCCCUGUACUCAGUGUCUUACAUGGCCUUAUCUGAUUUCCCAAUAACCCUGUAAAGUGAUGACUAUUGCUAUGCUCAUUUUACUCCACAAAAUUGAAUCUGAAAGGUUAAAGGAUGGAAAAACAUUCUGUAAGCUGCAAAGCACUAGGUAAAUAUAAUUAUAUUUCUCUCUCUUCUCUCUCUCCCUCCGCUCCCUAUGAGAGUUCCCAGUCAGUGAAGGGAACGGAAAAAUACAAGGCAUCAUGUGGUGUGGCACCAUAAUGCAAAUGUGUUCCACCUUCCUCCCCUAUUUUGGACACAACUCUUGUCUUCUCUUUUCACAUCCUCAGGGAUCCCAAGCCUCCUGGGACAUUGACCUCUCAUAUAAUCUUGCCCAGGUGAAACCAGCAAAGUCCUUCCUGAUGUCUAACCUCGGCCCCUCCUGGGUGUGAUCUCCUCUCCACCCAGCAGCACUAUCACAGUCCUACCGUUCCAUCAUCUGCGUGGGGUGGAAGUGAGGCCAGUGAAUGGCCCAGAAAUCCAGCCCAUUGAAACCUGCAUGCUGAAAAGGAAUGACUUCAUCCUGGGACAGGCCAGGUGGCAGGCAAAACAGUCAAGUAGAUCAGGGUUGUUUGUAGUGCCACCUGCCCCCUGCACUUUCCACUGGCUAUAAUCUGCUCUGGGAUGAACUGAGUUGGGGUUAAGUUUUACCUUCUUAGUCAAAAGGGGCCUGGAACACUGAACAAUGCCCAAGAGAAAAAGGGAUGCCUGGUGGGCAUGAUGACAGAAGGAGGAUAGACGUUUUGGACUAGGCUGACAAUGGUCGCGAGGUAGAACUUAGUCAUACCCCUUAGGCCACUGAUAAAUCCUUAAAAAGGUGAGACAUAGUCAUAUGUGUAUUAAUAGAGCAGGUUACUGAAUGUCUGAUUUACAAUUCAGGAGUGUCUCAGACCACAAUUUCUGGCCCUUUUCUCACUGCACUCUAGUGAUUUUUGUCCUUGCACAUGACUUCAGCCAUCAGCAUCAUGCGUAGAUCUAAGACUGCAACCCAGGCCUCUCCUACAUACCCCUCUGCCUACUAGAUAUCUUUCCUUGGUGCCCUACAACAUGCUUAAAGCUGACCUCCAACCUAGAGUGGUCCUCCAUCCCUGCUUUCCCCUUAAGCCCCUACGUUCUAGCAUUCUUCCUCAGAUAAGGCUUAUACUCCUCUUCCCCACCCCUGACUGGUCUCUCUGCCUUCAGCCUCUCUCUUCUCCAAGCUAUGUCCUGUGCAGCCUUCAAGUAGGUUAUAUUUUUCUUGAAAAAAGGGCUGCACUCCAGCCUGGGCGACAGAGUGAGACACUGUCUCAAAAAAAGAGAGAAAAAAGUCUCAAAUACAAAAGCAUGCAAGUAGUUUUUUGUGUGUUUGUUUUGAACAACACAAUUAACAGGUUUGAUUUAAUAGAUUUAACCUGGCUGGGCACAGUGGCUCACGCCUGUAAUCCCAGCACUUUGGGAGGCCGAGGCGGACAGAUCACCUGAGGUCGGGAGUUUGAGACCAGCCUGACCAACAUGGAGAAACCCCGUCUCUACUAAAAAUACAAAAUUAGUUGGGUGUGGUGGCACAUGCCUGUAAUCCCAGCUACUUGGGAGGCUGAAGCAGGAGAAUCAUUUGAACCCGGGAGGUGGAGGUUGCGGUGAGCCGAGAUUGCACCAUUGCACUCCAGCCUGGGCAACAAGAGUGAAACUCUGUCUCAAAAAAAAAAAAAAAUUUAACCGAACGACUAGGUUUUUUUUUUUUUCCUCAAGCACAUAUGGAGCCUUUAGAGAUAUUAACCACCUUCUAAAGUUUCAAACGAAGUCUCAAAUACAGGCCUGGCACAGUGGCUCAUGCCUGUCAUCACAGCACUUUGGGAGGCCGACGCUGGCAGAUCACUUGAGCCCAGGCAUUUGAGACCAGUCUGGGUAACAUGGCAAAACCCCAUCUCUACAAAAAAAAUUUAAAAAUCAGUCAGGCCUAGUGGCACAUGCCUGUAGUUCCAGCUGCUUGGGAGACUGAGGUGGGAGGAUCGCUUGAGCCCAGGAGGUUGAGGCUGCAGUGGGCCAUCAGCAUGCCACUGCACUCCAGCCUGGGCGACAGAGUGAGACUCUGUCUCAAAAAAAAAGAGAAAAAAAAGUCUCAAAUACAAAAGAGCCAGUAACAUACACACCACAUUGUAUGUCUACAACAUAAUUAAAGGGUAUAUAAAAAAUAAUUGAAAAUGUAAAACACUUUUAAAUUGGUCAAAG